This 397-nucleotide unclassified non-coding RNA is filed under the name Vibrio alginolyticus. RNAcentral describes it as "16S-23S ribosomal RNA intergenic spacer". The record is from RNAcentral. Lineage: Bacteria; Pseudomonadati; Pseudomonadota; Gammaproteobacteria; Vibrionales; Vibrionaceae.
CCUUAUACGAAGAUAGUCACGAUGAGUGUCCACACAGAUUGAUGGUUUAGAUUUAGUUAAAGCCAGAGCUUUAAUUAAUAACGUAAGUUAUUGAUUAAAGCUUUUUGCUUUAUGCUCUUUAACAAUUUGGAAAGCUGACUGAUUGAUUUACUUACGAGUAAUUCAAUCAAAUUUAAAAGUUCUCAAUGUUUAUCUGCUCUUAGUUAAUAAGAACGGUAUAAACACAACAAACACAUUCAAGUGUCUUGUAUUCGAAUGAUCAGAAAUGAUUGUUCAUUUUUUGAUUCUACUUUUUAUUAAAAAGUGGAAACAAAAAGUAAAUUGAGUCCGGCAAACAGUCAUCAAGAAUUAACCCUUCUUGAUGACAACCAAAAACCUUGGUUAGUUGCCAUACGCU